GGGUUGUGAGGUUAAGCGACUAAGCGUACACGGUGGAUGCCCUGGCAGUCAGAGGCGAUGAAGGACGUGCUAAUCUGCGAUAAGCGUCGGUAAGGUGAUAUGAACCGUUAUAACCGGCGAUUUCCGAAUGGGGAAACCCAGUGUGUUUCGACACACUAUCAUUAACUGAAUCCAUAGGUUAAUGAGGCGAACCGGGGGAACUGAAACAUCUAAGUACCCCGAGGAAAAGAAAUCAACCGAGAUUCCCCCAGUAGCGGCGAGCGAACGGGGAGGAGCCCAGAGCCUGAAUCAGUGUGUGUGUUAGUGGAAGCGUCUGGAAAGGCGCGCGAUACAGGGUGACAGCCCCGUACACAAAAAUGCACAUACUGUGAGCUCGAUGAGUAGGGCGGGACACGUGGUAUCCUGUCUGAAUAUGGGGGGACCAUCCUCCAAGGCUAAAUACUCCUGACUGACCGAUAGUGAACCAGUACCGUGAGGGAAAGGCGAAAAGAACCCCGGCGAGGGGAGUGAAAAAGAACCUGAAACCGUGUACGUACAAGCAGUGGGAGCCUCUUUUAUGGGGUGACUGCGUACCUUUUGUAUAAUGGGUCAGCGACUUAUAUUCUGUAGCAAGGUUAACCGAAUAGGGGAGCCGAAGGGAAACCGAGUCUUAACUGGGCGUUAAGUUGCAGGGUAUAGACCCGAAACCCGGUGAUCUAGCCAUGGGCAGGUUGAAGGUUGGGUAACACUAACUGGAGGACCGAACCGACUAAUGUUGAAAAAUUAGCGGAUGACUUGUGGCUGGGGGUGAAAGGCCAAUCAAACCGGGAGAUAGCUGGUUCUCCCCGAAAGCUAUUUAGGUAGCGCCUCGUGAAUUCAUCUCCGGGGGUAGAGCACUGUUUCGGCAAGGGGGUCAUCCCGACUUACCAACCCGAUGCAAACUGCGAAUACCGGAGAAUGUUAUCACGGGAGACACACGGCGGGUGCUAACGUCCGUCGUGAAGAGGGAAACAACCCAGACCGCCAGCUAAGGUCCCAAAGUCAUGGUUAAGUGGGAAACGAUGUGGGAAGGCCCAGACAGCCAGGAUGUUGGCUUAGAAGCAGCCAUCAUUUAAAGAAAGCGUA
RNAcentral lists this ribosomal RNA (1104 nucleotides) under Escherichia coli. Its description in RNAcentral is "partial 23S ribosomal RNA". It matches the Rfam family "Bacterial large subunit ribosomal RNA", at positions 1 to 1136 of the family's 2925-position model. The record is from RNAcentral. Lineage: Bacteria; Pseudomonadati; Pseudomonadota; Gammaproteobacteria; Enterobacterales; Enterobacteriaceae.